Molecule: ribosomal RNA, 253 nt
Filed under: uncultured bacterium
Lineage: Bacteria
Description: partial 16S ribosomal RNA
Rfam family: Bacterial small subunit ribosomal RNA
Source: RNAcentral
UACGGGGGGGGCAAGCGUUGUCCGGAAUCACUGGGCGUAAAGGGCGCGUAGGCGGCGCGGGAAGUCAUCGGUGAAAGUUCAGGGCUCAACUCUGAAUCGGCCGGUGAUACUCUCGUGCUCGAGCACUGUAGAGGCAGGUGGAAUUCCGGGUGUAGCGGUGGAAUGCGUAGAGAUCCGGAAGAACACCGGUGGCGAAGGCGGCCUGCUGGGCAGUAGCUGACGCUGAUGCGCGACAGCGUGGGGAGCAAACAGG